UCGAGGGUAAUUUUAUCUUUUUCAUCCAAGAAUCCACGUGUCGCUUCCAUAUUUUUCUUGAUUAUUUUUGGCUCCACAUAUGCCUCUGAUAGGAGCAUAUUUAUGCGACUUAGUUAGCUUGCUUCUUGGCAUUUAUGUUGUUAGUUCGUAGUAAUUUUAGUAUUUUAAGCUAUUUUCGUGUGUUUGUAGGUCCAAAGGGUUAAUGUGGCAAAGAAGUGCAUUUUGGAGCAUUUUGGAGCAUUUUUGGGCAUGGAAUGGAUAGCAUAUGCUUCGAGCAAAAGGAAUGGACGAAAUUUGAAGUUUGUGCAUCAUCCUCUCCCUAUAAAUAACCAUUUUAGCACACUCAUUUCACCCAACACAUUCACCUACCACUACAUACACUCAUUUCACCCAACACAUCCACUCAUUACAAUCACCCAACACAUUCACCUACCACUACAUCCACUCAUUUCAACCACUCAACACAUUCACCUACCACUACAUCCACUCAUUACCACCACCCACUACAUCCUCUCCCUAGCCUAUAAAUACAUUCAUCCACCCUUCAUCACGGGGGAGAUAUCAAUCCAAAACACACACACACAUCAUCUACACAAUUCUCCACUCUUUGCCGCAUUCAAUACAACCUUCAUCCAAACAUAUCCAUUCAUUUUCACAUCCAUUCCUCCAUACAAACAAACCUUUAAACACUCACCAACACCUUGUGCCGUAGCAAAGGAAGGGAAGGAAAGUGCUUGGACGUGCUUGCUGUCCAACUUGGAUCGUUGGAGCGUUUAAGUGUUUUUUUUUUCUUUUGUUUCUAAUGUUUAAAUUCAUUUCCUUUCGUUUUGUUGUAAAUAUGAGUGGCUAAACCCCUCUUGGCUAGGGGUGAUUCCAAAGCCAUGAUUAUGUGUGUAAUAUGAUUUGAUAAAUUCCAGUUAUGAGAAUCGUAAAUGCAAUUGGCUUAACUAUUUGAUUGAUAACUUAUUUGUAUUUGUUAAUUAAAGGUCGACACUUAAUUGGCAUGCAUAAAUCCGUUGCUAGAAUAUAAGGAAGUUUCACAUAAUCGUUACAAACUUAUAUUCACAUGUAGUGAAGGUCACUUAUAAACGAUCGCAUUAAGUUUAAUUCUAGCAUGAGUAACAUGAUGUCAUAGUUGCAAGUGCUUUGUCAAUGCUUAUGAUUUUCAUUACACGUAAUGAUCUCUGAUUGUAUCUCCAUUAUGAUGUCAUGUAGGGAACUUUAGAAGAAUGUUUUGGGUUGUCGAAUGAUGUCAUCCAAUCCAAUAAAACAAGGAAAAUCUGAGAGUUAACUAGUGAUGUCACGGUUAAUUUGGAGCAUUGUCGUUCAUAAUUCAAUGAAGUAGUAAUCGGAAAUCGAGUUAUUUGCAUACAUGUCAUGUGUGGAGAAAAAGCCUCUAGCUAUCCCAUCCAUCAUCUUAUUUCUCAAAUUUAUUUUACAAUCUGUCUAAUUUUUCAUACUUGUUUGUUUGUUUCAACUUCAUCCAAAUCAAAACCCCCCUUUUAGUUUCUUGUUUCAAAGUGUUUCAAAUCUAUUUUAGUUUGUGUUUUUAAGUGUUUUGAUUCAAGUAAAAGUCAAUUUUCGUCCAAAGUCAUUCCUAGUGUCUAGUUUAAGUUUAUUUAAUUGUUUUAUGCUGUUUUGAUUAUUUUAAGUUUGCUUUGAGUCUUGUGAGUCUUGUUAAGUGUUUUUAAGUUUAGUUUUAUGUUUUUGAGUCAGUUUAGAGGUUAUUAGCAAGCCCUCCUAAUCCCCGGUCUAGAACGAUCCCUACUUAUACUUAUACUACAAUUGUCAAAAGAGGGUUAAAUUUGUGUGUUAAGUUAAUUUUCGCAUCAAGUUUUUAGCGCCGUUGCCGGGGAUUAGCAACUUUGUUAAUCCCUUGUUAUUUCUUUUUGUUUAUUUUCAUGUGUUUUUGUUCCUAGUUGCUGAUUUUACUUGUUUUCUUGUUUUAGGUGGUUUAUGACUCGAAGUUCUCAACCUGUUCAUAAGCACAUCUUUGACUUUAACGACGAUUUUGAACGAACUUUGGGACGAGCAAGGAAUGAACAAGAUCCCCAACCAUCUCAACCUGCACCAGAUCUUGAAGAAGACAAAGUAGAAGAGCAAGAGAAGGCCACGACAAGGACUUUUAAAGAAGUCCAAGAUAUGGCAGUAGACAAUCGAACAAUCAAGGAGCUUUCCGUUUUGGGAUUGCACAAUGCUCUGCCUUUAUGCAUUCAAUAUCCAAGGGCGGCCCAAAACAAGACCGAUGAGUUCGAAUUAAAGUUCAGUUUAUUGCAUCAUAUUCCUAAGUUCCAUGGGUUGUCCAUGGAAGAUCCUAAUAAACAUUUGAUGGAGUUCGAGAUUGUUUGUUCGAGUAUGACCCCUGUGAAUGUUGAUGGGAGCAUUCUGAAAAUGAAGGCUUUUCCCUUUUCUCUCUUAGAAAAGGCUAAAGAUUGGUUGUAUGAGCUAGCCCCCAGAACUGUCACAUCAUAGGAGAGUAUGAAACGGGCAUUUUUGGAGAAGUUUUUCCCAACUUCUUGAGUCAUUCUGCUAUGCAAAAGGAUUAGUGGCAUUCAACAAAACCAAGGUGAAUCAUUUCCCACGUACUAUGAGCGUUUUAAAACCCUUGUUACUUCAUGUCCACAGCACCAGAUGAAGGAGGAGCUUCUUCUUCAAUAUUUCUACGAAGGGCUUCUACCAAUUGAACACUAAAUAUUAGACGCCUCAGCGGGAGGAGCCUUGGUGGACAAAACACCCAUGGUUGCCAAGACCUUAAUUGCUAAUCGAGCAUUGAAUGCUCAAUAAUAUGAAGGCGUUGGUCAAAGAGACAACCCAUAACAGCAACAAGUUAAUGAGGCAAGUGCUAUUUCUGAACUUCAAAAUCAAAUGGCUAAUCUUACUACUCUUCUUUCACAGGUGGUUGAAAAACCAAAAGAACAAAGUGUAGCUGCUUGUGGCGUGUGCUCAAUGAAUGGACAUCUCACGGAUAAGUGCCCUCAAUUGAUCGAGAACGGAGGGUGGGAAUUUGCCAACGCCGUGGGUUUUGAGAGUCAAAACCAACCAAGGAAUGAUCCGUUCUCAAAUACAUACAAUCCAAGUUAAAGAGAUCAUCCAAAUUUCAAAUGGAGGAAGCCCCAACAAACCCAACAACAAAGUGCAUUCAGACAACAACCUCCGGGAUUCUAUCAAAGGCCGUAUGCACCCGCACAACCCCAAACACAACCUACCCAAAAUAACUCAGGUUCAUCUUUUCAUAAUGCUCAAGUUAUUCAGUUACUAACUACAUUGGCGAAGGGUCAGGAAAAUAAAGCAAAAGAUAUGCACAAUUACGACAAUGAAGUGCAAAAUCAAGCUCGAGAGGUGACUGAAUUAAAGAGACAGAUGGGACAAAUGGCUGAGUUCAUGGGGUAAUUUAGUAGAGAGCCAGGUAAGUUACCUAGUUUGACGGAUGUGAAUCCAAAGGGAGGCUUCGAAUCUGCGAAAGCCAUCACCUUGCGAAGUGGACAAAAAGUUGGAUCUGAUCCCAGCCCAUCUAAAUCCAAUCAAAAGGAGGACGAAAAGAUGCAAUAUGAGGAGAAAGAGUAAGGCCUGCCUUCGGCAAGGAUUGAACAAUCUUUGCCGCAGCCACCUACACACCCUAAUUCGACCACCAAAGGUAAGUUGGGUUCAAAUUCCAUGACUUCUAAUUCCAUUCCAACCAAUGCACCCUUUCCUCGCAGGUUUAUGCAAUCAAAGAAGGAUGAGAGUGACAAAGACAUCUUUGACACAUUUAGAAAGGUGCAAUUCAACAUUCCACUUCUAGAUGCAAUUAAACAAGUCCCCAAGUAUGCUAAGUUCCUGAAGGAGCUGUGCACUACAAGGAAGAGGGCUUCAAACAAAGAGGUGGUAAGGGUAAGUGAGAAUGUCUCAGCUGUGUUGCAAUGAAAACUACCUCCUAAGUGCAAAGAUCCAGGCAGUUUUACAAUUCCUUGUAUUAUAGGAAAUACUCGCUUUGAAUAUGCCAUGUUAGAUCUAGGUGCAUCAAUAAAUGUCAUGCCUUAUUCAAUUAUGCAUCUAUGAACUUGGGAGAAUUAAAAAAUGAUGAAGUGAUCAUUCAACUGGCCGAUAGAUCUAAUGCGUAUCCAAAAGGUGUUUUGGAGGAUGUUUUAGUGCAGGUGAAUCACCUAGUCUUUUCGGUGGACUUUUACGUGCUUGAAAUGGAAGACUCGAAACGAAGGGUUAACACUUAGGCAUGCACACGGCAACAACAAGGAACAUCUUGCCGUGCCUAUUUAAGAAGAAUUGGUGGAGAUGGUUGCUGCCCUAGAGUCAAAUCCAAGGCAUAUUGGUAAGUCUCCUAACCUAAUUUCAAUUCCCAUUUCGACUAACAAGUUGCUUCCUUCUGUAAUCCAGCCCCCUUCCCUAUAGCUUAAACCAUUGCCUAGCCAUUUGAAAUAUGUGUUUUGGGGAGAGCAAGAGACGCUGCCUGUCAUCAUCUCUUCUUCACUCACUGCACAAGAGGAGGACAAGUUGGUGAGGGUGCUUCAGGAAUACAGAACUGCCAUUAGGUGGACAUUGGCCGAUAUCAAGGGAAUUAGCCCUACCACUUGCAUGCAUCGAAUACUCUUGGAAGAAAGAGCCAAACCAUCUAGAGAAGCACAACACCGGCUCGCUCAAUCCACCCAUGAUGGACGUUGUGAAGAAGGAAAUCAUCAAGCUACUAGAUUGUGGAGUGAUUUACCCAAUUUCUGAUAGCCAUUGAGUUUCGUCGGUCCAAGUUGUUCCUAAGAAGUCCGGAGUCACUGUGGUAAAAAAUAAAGAUAAUGAGCUUGUGCCCACCCGAAUCCAAACCGGAUAGAGAGUUUGUAUUGACUAUCGGAAGCUCAACGCUACGACAAGAAAAGAUCACUUCCUGCUGCCCUUUAUUGAUCAAAUGCUAGAAAGGUUAGCUGGUCAUUCAUUUUAUUGUUUUCUUGAUGGCUAUUCGGGUUAUAAUCAGAUUGUGAUAGCUCCCGAUGACCAAGAAAAGACUACCUUCACAUGUCCUUUUGGUACCUUUGCUUAUCGACGAAUGCUAUUUGGGCUAUGCAACACACCAGCCACAUUCCAAAGGUGUAUGGUAAGUAUUUUCUCAGAAUUUGUGGAAAAGAUCAUUGAAGUGUUUAUGGAUGACUUUAGUGUCUUUGGUGACUCAUUUGAUGCAUGCUUGAAUAAUCUUACUCUGAUCUUACAACAAUGCAUUGAAACUAAUCUUGUCUUGAAUUGGGAAAAGUGCCAUUUUAUGGUAAAACAAGGUAUAGUUUUGGGGCAUAUCAUAUCAGAAAAAAAGAUUGAGGUUGAUAAAUCUAAAAUAGAUCUUGUACGUCACUUACCCUCUCCCACUUCGGUGAGGGAGGUUUGUUUUUUUCUCGGCCAUGCAGAAUUGUAUAGGAGAUUCAUCAAAGAUUUCUUAAAAAUUGCCCAACCCCUUUGCCGCUUACUCCAAAAGGAAAUAGCCUUUGAGUUCAACAAGGAAUGUGAGACCGCUUUCAAAACCCUCAAGGACAUGUGGACUUCGGCCCCUAUCAUCAUGACACCAGAUUGGAGUCUUCCAUUUGAGCUAAUGUGUGAUGCAUCCGAUUAUGCCAUUAGUGCUGUUUUAGGCCAAAGGAGGAACAAACAGCCCCACGUCAUCCACUACGCUUCCCGGACACUAAAUGAUGCUUAAUUGAAUUAUUCUAUCACUGAGAAAGAACUUCUUACAGUUGUAUUUGCUUUAGAUAAAUUUCGUUCAUACUUGGCACUAAAGUGAUUGUAUAUUUUGACCAUGCAGUGUUGAAGUACCUCCUCACCAAGAAGGAGGCCAAACCAAGGCUGAUUUGUUGGAUGCUCCUACUUCAAGAGUUUAACAUUGAAAUAAGAGACAAAAAGGGGAGUGAAAACGUGGUGGCUAACCACCUCAACCGUUUGGUGCAUGAGGAGGACUCCUUACCCAUUCUAGAGACCUUCCCUGACGAGCAAUUGCUGUCCCUAGAGGUAAGUGAGCCCUGGUAUGCUGAUUUGGUCUAUUAUUUGGUCACAAAACAAGUUCCUAGCACUCUAGAUAAAUACAAGCGUGAUAAACUCAGAAAUGAUGCACGAUUUUAUGUGUGGGAUGAUCCAUAUUUGUGGAAGUAUUGUCCUGAUCAGAUUAUUCGUAGAUGUGUGCACAAUUCUGAGUUUAAUUCAAUUCUUGCAUUUUGCCAUAGUUAUGCAUGUGGGGGUCAUUUUAGCACCCAAAGGACAACCCUUAAGGUUUUAGAGAGUGGUUUCUAUUGGCCUACAUUGUUUAAGGAUGCUAGAACAUUUUGUAUAACUUGUGAUAGAUGCCAAAGAACAGGUACAAUCGGUGCCAAAGACCAAAUGCCGCAAACCCCCAUCUUUAAUGUGGAGAUCUUUGAUGUAUGGGGUAUGGAUUUCAUGGGACCCUUUCCGCCCUCAUAUGUUUUCACUUAUAUUUUGCUAGCCGUUGAUUAUGUGUCGAAAUGGGUGGAAGCUAAAGCCACCCAUACUGACGAUUCUAGAAUGGUGGCAGAUUUUAUCAAGGCUAACAUCUUUUCCAGAUUUGGCAUGCCAAGGGUGUUCAUAAGCGAUGGAGGCUUCCAUUUUUUCAAUCGCACCAUUGAGGCGCUGUUUAAAAAGUACAAUGUGAAGCAUCGGGUUUCCAUGCCAUACCAUCCUCAAACAAGUGGCCAAGUCGAAGUCUCGAAUAGAGAAAUCAAGCAAAUCUUGGAGAAGACUGUUGGGCCAAACCAAAAGGAUUGAAGUUUGCGUUUAGAUGAUGCACUAUGGGCAUAUCGCACUGCCUACAAAACACCUCUAGGGAUGUCUCCAUUUCGACUAAUCUACGGCAAGCUGUGUCACCUACCUGUGGAAUUGGAGCACAAAGCGCACUGGGUUGUGAAAACAUUCAAUUUGGACUUAAAUGCUGCUGGAAUGAAUAGAAAGCUCCAACUGAAUGAACUUGAGGAGAUACGGAAUGAGGCCUAUGAUAAUGCACGAAUUUACAAGGAGAAAACAAAGGCGUUUCAUGACAAAAUGAUUCGGGGAAAAACAAUCUCAUUUGGAUAGAAAGUGCUACUAUUCAAUUCUCAUCUACCAUUGUUCCCUGGUAAGUUACGGUCUAAGUAGAUUGGGCCAUUUGUUGUCACUAAUGUUUUUCCCCAUGGUGUAGUCCAAGUUAAAAGCUUAAGGAACGGCGACGAAUUCAAAGUGAACGGGCAUCGCCUGAAGCUAAACUAUGAGAAUGAUGUGGGGCAGAUUGUGGAAGAAAUCCCACUCAGUGCCGUGGGCCCUAUCCAAGCUUAGAAGGAAGUUUCGUCCAGCUGCAAGACGUUAAAGCAAGCGCUUCUUGGGAGGCAACCCAUGUUUUGCGUUCCUAAAAUUCUUCCCUUUUCUGCAAUUUUAUUUUGCCAUGAUUGUCAUUUUUAUUUGUUGCUUGUUUAAUUGUUUUUGGUGUGGGUUUAUUUUUGAAACAUUGACAUAUAUGCAAGGUAUUUUACAUUAAUAUUCGUUGAAAAUGAAUAGGAGGCAGAAAAAUACAAGAGGGAGCUUUCACAAAGGCUGCUUAGGAGAUGUCUCAGUAGUCGGCGGAGCCUCAGCAAUCGGUGGAGCCACAGAAGGAGGAGGUAUCAGUGGUUGAUCAUUUGGAGCUUAACUACGCGGUACAGCCCCAUAAGACGAAGGCAAAUGCUGUUGGAACAAACCCACAAACCUCUGAUGAUCAAGUAAAAUCUGACCAUCAGAUUCUUGCAUCUGGUCAAUCUUCUUCUUCAUGUUUGUAGCAUAGUUAUGUGUAAGCUUGUGCAACUAUUUAUUCUCAUGCUUGAGCCCUCUAAUCUUCUGUUUGAGACUCAUUACUUUAGCCGCCAAUGAUUCAACUUGACGGGUUCGAGCAAAUAGACGUUGGGCCAUAUUAGACAAGGUUCCGGGCUCAUCAGACCGUUUGGAAAGUAGUUUGUUAUCUUUGGGAGUGACAAGGUUCCGGGCCACCACCGCAGCGGUCAUAUCAUUCUUCAUCACCGAAUCCCCAACGGUAAGAGGACCAGUAGAGGAUAUGAAGGAUGGGUGCCAUAUAUUGUCUGGAGAAAGCAUUGAUGCCUCUUCACCAAAGUUCAAGUCAAAACGACAGUCGGAGGGGCAAGAUAUUUUCAAAGGUGUUGAAGAAAGAAAAGGUCGGACAAAUCGAGAUCUUAGAAGUGCAAUGAAGGGAGUUUAUACGGGCAAAAAUUCAAGUGUGCUUAUAAACGAACUGCUAAUCCUCUAUAAAAAUCAGCACUCGACGGGAUUUCAGAGAUCGAAGAGGCGAGCUCAGAAAUCGAAGAGGCCAAUUUAAAAAUCGAAGAGGCGCUAGCUUUUUUAAAAGCUGGGCUUGCUCAGAAACCACGGGCCAUCCUCUAUUCCAGAUUUGUCCGCACUUGUCACAUGCAACCUUUGCACUCGACGGACCUCAGAAAUCGAAGGGGCAAGCUCAUUAAAUUGGAAAGGCAUUUGCUUUUCCAGGAGUGUCAGCAUCUGUCACAUAUACACUCAGCUUGCGAAAAUCACGGGCAAUUUGUCGAAGUGCCGAUUUCAGAUAUCGAAGAGGCAUUUACUUUUCCAGACGUGUCAGCAUCUGUCACAUGCACACUCAGCCUUGCGGAAAUUACGGGCAAUCUGUCGAAGAUUUCUGGUGACGUAGAAAGCACGUGAAGAUUACUAUUCAAUCAUCCAACGGUUGCCGACAAGAGUGAAAGAAUAAUACCAGUUAUUAAUUCAUAUAAAUGUCGAUCUUCACCCUUUAUUGCAAGGCAGACAUACAUAACCCUUCUUCAUCUCCGAUAAUGCCUUCCCAACAAAGCCUCUCGAGUCCCUCAGUGUUCCUUAUUCCCUGGGAUACCUCUGCAAACAACCCAUCAAAAGAAAAAGUAUUUCAUAUCAUGAAGGUUGAAAACAAGAGUAUCUCAUAUCAUGCUUUCUCCCUGUCCUUCUUCUUGUCGUUGUUUUUCACCUGCGGGACAAGGAGAAAGAGAGCAAUCAGCCAGCACUUGGUAUCAAUCUUCCGAUCUGGAACCGACUGCCUGGAACCCCUUCCUGAUUGCUUACCUAGCCUUGCUCUCGAGUACUCAUUUUCAACAUCUUAUACUUCCUCAAGCUACCACAUUUGCCUGGGGAACAGAUAAGGGAAGUAAAAAUGAUACCUCGAAGCAUGUGGAGACAAUGUGCUAAUCCAUCCUCAGCUAGGGACAAGGAGAAAGAAAGAAAAUGGUCGGCACUUGGAAAGAUUGAAGAAAGAAAUAGACCAUCACCUCUACCUCGUGCCUGCCUGCCGUGCAGAAGAAACAAGCAGAGAAGAAUGCAGACUGCACAACCAAGGAACUCUUAUAUCCCUUGCUCAGAAUUCCAAACCAGUUCGAGAUCAAAGUUGUGGAAAGUCAACAAGAUCAUCUAUCUCCAAAACCAGAUUUGCAUUCUUAAACUCUACUCUGUUUGGUUUUUACUUUGCUAUAUGAUAAGCUCAUAUUUAUAUAUAUUUUACAUAAAAUUCACUUGUCUUUUCUUAGUUAGUUCCUUAUAUUUUUGAGCUAUUUACUAUGUUUUUGUGUUUUGUGUGAUUUAUCAAGCAAAGAAAAGAAAAGUAGCACAAGUGAGAUAUUAAGUAACAAAUUCGUCAAAACUGCCUGUGCAGAUUAGCGGAUUUUGGAAGCAUGUUACGAACAACUCAUAAUGAAUGAGAGAAUGAGCUUUAUAUGCUUGGAAAGCUACGGAUGUCAAUUUUCUGGAGCAAUUUACAGAUUGUUAAUACCCCUUUUCUAGAAGAAGUUAUGGGCAUUGUAACACUGAAAGGUUCAGAAAAGGGCUAAGCAGAUUUGGCUAAUAAAAUGAGAAAGUAAAGGCACUUGUUUUUUGUUUUGCUUUUUCAUCAACACUCAGCAACAAAUGGGGUUAUGAUUGCACUCAUUUGGAUUUGGAGCAAGUGGAAAUGCACAGCUAGAAAGAGAAGACAUCAAACAGCUCACACACAUGCAAGGAUGACAUUCACACACAUGCAAACUGCAUGGACAGGUUGGAGGACAGAAAAUGUGUUUGUUUUUUGGUUGAAAUGAUGAGGAACAUGUGUGUGCAAAUGGGCAAAGGAAACACACACACAUGGGCAAAGGAAAGGCACGACAUGGGCAUAAAAUACAUCAAUACAUUCACUCAUUACCACAACACUCACCCUUGUCCCUUUCAUUAUUUCUGUUUUCAUGCACCAUUACAUUUAAUCAUUGCACUCAAGUGGUGCACAUCCCUUGUCCCUUUCACCCAUCAGAUUUCAUUCACUUUCACCUCCACUACAUGCACUCAUUGAUGCACCACUCCUUCACUUUCCUUGCCCAUGCCGUGCAUCAUGAAUCCACCUGCACCUAUGACUAAUUUCUGCACCAUUCCACCUCCCUUUCCUUUAUCUACCAUGUGCACAAUCAUUCGUGUUCCCCACUUGCAUUCAUAGCUGCAACACCACUCCAUUUCACCCCCCAUGCUUUGCAUCAUUACUUCACUUUCACAUUUGAAUCAUUGCUCACACCACCAUCCAUCCCUUCAUGCCAUGCACUUCCUCUAUAAAAGGAAGUGUGUGUGGCAGCCAUUACAUUCAGUUUUUCUUGAGAAUUCAUCCCUAAUUCAAUACAACUUUCAUCCAAACACAUCCAUUCAUCUACACAUCCAUUCCUCUAUACAACCAAACCUUCAAACACUCACCAACACCUUGUGCCAUAGCAAAGGAAAGGAAGGAAAGUGCUUGGACGUGCAUGCUGUCCAACUUGGAUCGUUGGAGCAUUUUGGUGUUUUCUUUCUUUUGUUUUCAAUGUCUAAAUUUGUUUAUCUUUGCUUUGUAAGUAUGAGGAACUAACCCCCCCCCUUAGCUAGGGGGAAAUUCGAAACUAUGUUCAUACUUGCAAUAUGAUUUGAUUACCUUCAGUUGUGAUUUCAUAAGUUGUGAAUUCAAUUUGUUUAACGGCUUGAUUGAUAACUUAUUCGUGUAUGUUUAUUAAGAGUGCACACUUAGUUUGCAUGCAUGAAUAUGAUGCUAGAGUAUAAAGGAGUUUCACCUAAUAGUUACAAAUUUAUAUUCACAAGUAGUGGAGGUCGCUUAUAAACGAUAGCGUUAAAUGAAUUCUUGGCAGAAGUUUCAUGCUCAUCAUAGUAACGAAUGCCUCGUCAAUACUUAUAGUUUUCAUGAUGCUUAAUGAUCUUUGAUUGUAUCUUUAUUGUGUUGCUCACAUAAAGGACUUUUGAAGAAUGCUUGAAUUGUUGUAUACGCUUUCCCAUCCAAUUCAAUAACUUAAGGAGAACUUGAAGUUAUUUAAGCGGACUUAAUUAACCUGGGGUGUUGAGUUUCAUGAUUGAUCGAAAGAACAACUGAAAAAUUGGUUUAUGUGCAAGUAUGUCAUGUGUGGAGAAGAACCCUCUAGCUAGACCAUCAUCCAUAGUUUAACCCAUCACCCAUCAAUUCACCUAAAUUUGUCUAAGAAUCUGUUUAAAUUGUUCUUGCUUUGUUUUCCAUAUUUUCGCCCAAAACCAAAAUCCCCUUUAUUUUAUUAAGUCGUAUUAGUUAGUACUUGUUUUAGAUUGUGUUUUUAAGUGUUUUAAGUCAAGAUAAAAUCAAUUUUCGUCCAAACUUUGUGUUAGUGGCAGAAACUGCCUUAGAGUUGUUUUUAGACAGUUUUGAGUCUCUAUAAUCUGUUUUGAGUCUUGUGACUUUGUUUUGAGUCCUGUAAGUUUAAUUUCAUACUUUUAAGUUUGUUUUCACAUAUUUAAGUCAGUUUCAAGUGUUUUAGCAAUCCCUCAUAAUCCCCAGCCUAGAACGAUCCCUACUUACAUUCUUUACUACAAUUGACAACAAGAGGGUUUAAUUUGUGUGUUAAGUUAAUUUUCGCAUCACUAUACUUGUUAUGUUUAUUCGUUGUUUGCUUGUUUGCUUGUUUUUGUGUGAGUUUAUGCUUGAAACAUUGAGGACAAUGUUUGAUUUAAGUGUGGGGGGGGGGUAACCAAGUUGUUUUGUAUAAAAUUCGUAGGAGUUUAUCACCCAUUACUUCUAGUGUUGUUCCUUGCUGUUUUUAAGUGUUUUUAAGUUGUUUUGGAGUGUUUUAGUGUGUUUUGACAUAAAAAUCCGAAAAUCUCAUAAAAAUUUGAAAAAUUGUUUUGAAAAACCCAAAAAAAAAAGAAGUUGUUUUGUGUGUUUAUUUGUGUCUUAGGGUACCUUCCAACACAAUGAUGAGGAUUUGGUUUUUAAUUACAUGACUGUUAAAGAGAGUUAUAAACAUGGAUGAAAAUUUGAUUUACUCUUUGGUGUAUGCUUGGUUGUGGUUAUAAUUUAUGAAUUCACAUGCAAACAUAAAGGAAAAAUCAGUUUUUGUAACAUGCUUGAAGGAAAGAACUCAAAUGAACGCUACAACCUUGUGAGACUUGAGCCUAAACGUUUAUUUGGAGAGUUAAUAAUCUGUGCAUCAUUGUUUUCUAAAGUCAUUGCAUGAUCUCAUUAUUCUUUGCUUGGUUGCUACUUAGAAGGCGUUUCAUCAUUUAGUUCCAAAUGCUAGAACUCAUGCCUAUUUCAUUCAAAGCAUGCUAUUGAUUUGCAUAACACAUAUUCAAGAUGAAGUUGUGUAGUGACCACCAAAGCUAAAUUGCCAUGCCCCUAUUCAUUAUGUGUUUAAGUUUAACCCCGUUGAGCCUUGUUAAGCCUAUGUUCUUUGUUAACCCACACUAUCCUUACCUAGCCUAGUUUUAGGACCAUCCAUACCCUUAUUCUUAAAGCAUAGUAAAGCAUGACUUAAAAUGAACUCAUUUUUUAUCAAUGUAUUGCAGAGAGCAAGUGUGGGGGAAGUGAUUCUUGUGUGUGUGUGUGUGCCAAAGUCCUUAAUAAGGCACGGGUAGAAAAGAAAAAAAAAGAAUUGAAAAGAGUAUGAAAAAGAGCUCUAAAGUGUUGUUCGUUAAGGAAAGGGUCCAAAAUAUUGAAUUCGGCCCUAAGUGUUGCAUGAAUCUUCCAUUUGUAUUUAAAAGUUGAUUCUGCAUUCUAAAGUGAUUUCCAAGUGUCUAUUUCAUUACUUUGCUUGCUAUCGCUUUAAGAACGUUUGUUAUCCCUAUCUUUUCUUUGUUAGCCAUUACCCCUAAGCCCUGUUACAACCCUUGACUUCAAUCUUGAGUGUUGUGUGUUUCAAUUUGUGGAGUUCGAAAUUGGUAUGAGCAUAUGGUGUCACUGGUUCUCGCAUCUAAGUAGUAGCAUUCCAUUCAUGAGAUCAUAUCUAAACAUGCUUAAUAACUCCAGAAAAUUGCUUUCUUUGUUAUAACAUAUGUGAGUCCUAGUCUUUAGUUUUUACAUCAAUCUUCUCACAUAUAACUAGUGUAGGGUGUGUAGUCAGAAAAUGUGUGGAAAUAGAGAGUAUCUUGUAAGGAAUUGAGCAAAUUCUCUAAGGCAUGUUACUACAUUCAAAACAUCGUUUUAAUUGGUUAAUUGUGCACUAGUAAGUGGUGACUGUGAUUAAGUAUGUGCUCAAGUGUGAAGAUGACCAAAAUCUGUGGGAAUGAUAAUUUUUAACAUGUCAUGUUUCAUAAAAAAUCCCUGAGGCAAUUGUUGGAAGGUCUAGGUUGUGUUGUGUUUUGUUUUGUUUUUUUUGUUUUGCUCGAGGACUAGCAGAAGCUAAGUGUGGGGGAAUUUCAUAGGAGCAUAUUUAUGUGACUUAGUUAGCUUGUUUCUUGGCAUUUAUGUUGUUAGUUCGUAGUUAUUUUAGAAUUUUAAGCUAUUUUCGUGUGUUUGUAGUUCCAAAGGGUUAAUGUGGCAAAGAAGUGCAUUUUGGAGCAUUUUGGAGCAUUUUUGGGCAUGGAAUGGAUAGCAUAUGCUUGGAGCAAAAGGAAUGAACGAAAUUUGAAGUUUGUGCAUCAUCCUCUCCCUAUAAAUAACCAUUUUAGCACACUCAUUUUACCCAACACAUUCACCUACCACUACAUACACUCAUUUCACCCAACACAUUCACCUACCACUACAUCCACUCAUUUCACCCAACACAUCCACUCAUUACAACCACCGAACACAUUCACCUACCACUACAUCCAUUCAUUUCAACCACCCAACACAUUCACCUACCAUUACAUUCACUCAUUACCACCACCCACUACAUCCUCUCCCUAGCCUAUAAAUACAUUCAUCCACCCUUCAUCAUGGGGGAGAUAUCACACACACACAUAUCAUCUACACAAUUCUCCACUCUUUGCCGCAUUCAAUACAACCUUUAUCCAAACACAUCCAUUCAUUUUCACAUCCAUUCCACCAUACAAACAAACCUUCAAACACUCACCAACACCUUGUGCCGUAGCAAAGGAAGGGAAGGAAAGUGCUUGGACGUGCUUGCUGUCCAACUUGGAUCGUUAGAGCGUUUAGGUGUUUUCUUUCUUUUGUUUCUAAUGUUUAAAUUCAUUUCCUUUUGUUUUGUUGUAAAUAUGAGUGGCUAAACCCCUCUUGGCUAGGGGUGAUUUCAAAACCAUGAUUAUGUGUGUAAUAUGAUUUGAUAAAUUCCAAUUAUGAACUCUUGAAUCGUAAAUGCAAUUGGCUUAACUAUUUGAUUGAUAACUUAUUUGUAUUUGUUAAUUAAGGGUCGACACUUAAUUGGCAUGCAUAAAUCCGUUGCUAGAAUAUAAGGAAGUUUCACAUAAUCGUUACAAAUUUAUAUUCACACGUAGUGAAGGUCGCUUAUAAACGAUCGCGUUAAGUUUAAUUCUAGCAUGAGUAACAUGAUGUCAUAGUUACAAGUGCUUUGUCAAUGCUUAUGAUUUUCAUUAAACAUAAUGAUCUUUGAUUGUAUCUCCAUUAUGAUGUCAUGUAGGGAACUUUAGAAGAAUGUUUUGGGUUGUCGAAUAAUGUCAUCCAAUCCAAUAAAACAAGGAAAAUCUGAGAGUUAACUAGUGAUGUCACGGUUAAUUUGGAGCAUUGUCGUUCAUAAUUCAAUGAAGUAGUAACUGGAAAUUGAGUUAUUUGUAUACAUGUCAUGUGUGGAGAAAAAGCCUCUAGCUAUCCCAUCCAUCAUCUUAUUUCUCAAAUUUAUUUUACAAUCUGUCUAAUUUUUCAUACUUGUUUGUUUGUUUCAACUUCAUCCAAAUCAAAACCUCCCUUUUAGUUUCUUGUUUCAAAGUGUUUCAAAUCUGUUUUAGUUUGUGUUUUUAAGUGUUUUGAUUCAAGUAAAAGUCAAUUUUUGUCCAAAGUUAUUCUCAGUGUCUAGUUUAAGUUUAUUUAAUUGUUUUAAGCUGUUUUGAUUAUUUUAAGUUUGCUUUGAGUCUUGUGAGUCCUGUUAAGUGUUUUUAAGUUUGGUUUUAUGUUUUUGAGUCAGUUUAGAGGUUAUUAGCAUGCCCUCCAAUCCCCGGUCUAGAACGAUCCCUACUUAUACUUAUACUACAAUUGUCAAAAGAGGGUUAAAUUUGUGUGUUAAGUUAAUUUUUGCAUCAGCCUCCACACCUAUUGGGUUGCUUGCAGGAAAGGGCUGCAUGUGUAGAGAUCAUCUUGUUUUAGGAAACAUAUGAUUAUUUCCUAUUUUGAUGUAAAUUCUAUCUUUACUUUGAAAUUAGAUAAGGGAAAUAAAUUACUUCUAAAGUUUAUUUAAGUCUACCUUAAGUAGAUUGUUAAAUCAACUUUAGAAAGUAAUUUAUCUUUCCCUACAAGAAAGAGAAAGCUAUAGGAUAUUUGUUCACCCUCCUCUAGCAAUCUUAUACACUUGCCCCUGCAAAGGACCGUCUUUCAUUGAUUUAUUUGUCUUCUCCAUGCUACACCGAGGUAAGAAAAAUUUAAUUUUCCUUGUUUUCUUCUUGGAUAGUGCUAUCGUGGG
RNAcentral lists this long non-coding RNA (15806 nucleotides) under Malus domestica (apple). RNAcentral describes it as "long non-coding RNA (MDOM_LNC010476)". The record is from RNAcentral. Lineage: Eukaryota; Viridiplantae; Streptophyta; Magnoliopsida; Rosales; Rosaceae.